AAUCUACCUAGUAGAAGGGGAUAGCCCGGGGAAACUCGGAUUAAUACCGUAUACCUCCUAAGGGAGAAAGAGGGCCUCUCUUGAUGCUCUCGCUAUUAGAUGAGCCUGCGUAAGAUUAGCUUGUUGGUAAGGUAAUGGCUUACCAAGGCUACGAUCUUUAGCUGGUCUGAGAGGACGAUCAGCCACAUUGGGACUGAGACACGGCCCAGACUCCUACGGGAGGCAGCAGUGGGGAAUAUUGGACAACGGGCGCAAGCCUGAUCCAGCCAUACCGCGUGUGUGAAGAAGGCCUUCGGGUUGUAAAGCACUUUAAGCAGGGAGAAAAAGUUAUAAGUUAAUACCUUAUAACCGUGAUGUUACCUGCAGAAUAAGCACCGGCUAAUUCCGUGCCAGCAGCCGCGGUAAUACGGAAGGUGCAAGCGU
Molecule: ribosomal RNA, 423 nt
Filed under: uncultured bacterium
Lineage: Bacteria
Description: bacterial SSU rRNA
Rfam family: Bacterial small subunit ribosomal RNA
Source: RNAcentral